Molecule: ribosomal RNA, 510 nt
Filed under: uncultured bacterium
Lineage: Bacteria
Description: partial 16S ribosomal RNA
Rfam family: Bacterial small subunit ribosomal RNA
Source: RNAcentral
GACGAACGCUGGCGGCGUGCUUAACACAUGCAAGUCGAACGAAGAGCGAUGGAAGCUUGCUUCUAUCAAUCUUAGUGGCGAACGGGUGAGUAACGCGUAAUCAACCUGCCCUUCAGAGGGGGACAACAGUUGGAAACGACUGCUAAUACCGCAUACGAUCUAACCUCGGCAUCGAGGAAAGAUGAAAGGUGGCCUCUAUGUAUAAGCUAUCACUGAAGGAGGGGAUUGCGUCUGAUUAGCUAGUUGGAGGGGUAACGGCCCACCAAGGCGAUGAUCAGUAGCCGGUCUGAGAGGAUGAACGGCCACAUUGGGACUGAGACACGGCCCAGACUCCUACGGGAGGCAGCAGUGGGGAAUCUUCCGCAAUGGACGAAAGUCUGACGGAGCAACGCCGCGUGAGUGAUGACGGCCUUCGGGUUGGAAAGCUCUGUUAAUCGGGACGAAAGGCCUUCUUGCGAAUAGUGAGAAGGAUUGACGGUACCGGAAUAGAAAGCCACGGCUAACUACGUG